UUUGAAUAAUUCUUGCAAAAAAAGAAAUUUUGAAGAAUUUUCGGCAUAUGAAGAGAAAUUAGAAGCAUCUAAAGAAACGUGGGAAUUAGUGGAUUCAGCAGCGGAGGGAUUUCGAACUUCAGUAUCAUACAGACUAGGAUGCUUUGCAAUGUUAUGAGCAGAUUGAAUAAAAAGACGUAUUUUUUCUUGGAUUCUUGAAUCGCUAGGACCAGUACAAAAAUGGUCAAUACAAAAGGCAAAGUAUUGAACCAACCGAUGCAUCAUUUUCCUUUGAAGCGCAGACAUUGGAAGGCCAAUAUCUAGCACGCUGAACGAGGAUUUAGAAGAUUUAGUAAUAGAUUCUUCCGAAGAAUCAAAGGCAGUGUCAUUUUGCAAAGGAAUAGGAAAUAACUGCUGGGUAGAAGGGAAUUCAUCGACCU
Non-coding RNA from Schizosaccharomyces pombe (fission yeast), 419 nucleotides. Lineage: Eukaryota; Fungi; Ascomycota; Schizosaccharomycetes; Schizosaccharomycetales; Schizosaccharomycetaceae. The record is from the annotation of a GenBank genome assembly.